UAAGGAAUAUUGGUCAAUGGACGCAAGUCUGAACCAGCCAUGCCGCGUGAAGGAUGAAGGUCCUCUGGAUUGUAAACUUCUUUUAUCUGGGACGAAAAAAGCUCAUUCUUGAGCACUUGACGGUACCAGAAGAAUAAGCACCGGCUAACUCCGUGCCAGCAGCCGCGGUAAUACGGAGGGUGCAAGCGUUAUCCGGAUUUACUGGGUUUAAGGGGUGCGUAGGUGGAUUUGUAAGUCAGUGGUGAAAUCUCCGAGCUUAACUCGGAAACUGCCAUUGAUACCAUAAGUCUUGAAUUACCUGGAGGUAAGUGGAAUAUGUCAUGUAGCGGUGAAAUGCUUAGAUAUGACAUAGAACACCAAUUGCGAAGGCAGCUUACUACGGAUUGAUUGACACUGAGGCACGAAAGCGUGGGGAUCAAACA
RNAcentral lists this ribosomal RNA (422 nucleotides) under uncultured bacterium. RNAcentral's name for it is "bacterial SSU rRNA". It matches the Rfam family "Bacterial small subunit ribosomal RNA", at positions 355 to 774 of the family's 1533-position model. The record is from RNAcentral.